RNAcentral lists this ribosomal RNA (318 nucleotides) under uncultured bacterium. RNAcentral's name for it is "bacterial SSU rRNA". It matches the Rfam family "Bacterial small subunit ribosomal RNA", at positions 32 to 342 of the family's 1533-position model. The record is from RNAcentral.
AAUCAACGCUGGCGGCGUGCCUAACACAUGCAAGUCGAGCGAGAAAGGGGUAGCAAUACCCUGAGUAAAGCGGCGCACGGGUGAGUAACACGUGGGUAAUCUGCCCUAGAGUGGGGAAUAACACCGGGAAACCGGUGCUAAUACCGCAUACGAUCACGAUGUCUUCGGAUGUUGUGAUGAAAGGAGCAAUUCGCUCUUGGAGGAGCCCGCGGCUGAUUAGCUAGUUGGUAAGGUAAUGGCUUACCAAGGCUACGAUCAGUAUCCGGUCUGAGAGGACGGUCGGACACACUGGAACUGAGACACGGUCCAGACUCCUAC